Molecule: long non-coding RNA, 737 nt
Organism: Tripterygium wilfordii
Lineage: Eukaryota; Viridiplantae; Streptophyta; Magnoliopsida; Celastrales; Celastraceae
Exons: 2
Source: RefSeq, a predicted model, not a curated record
UAGCCGCCACGAUUAGGGUUUCUCACAGCGUUUCUUUUACAAUUUUAGGGUUCCAUUUUCGACUGAACACAAUCUCUUUUUCAGUUGAAAGCGCAGCCCUUAAGAUCGCCUUCCUCGACAAAGAAUGGAAGCGUUUUGAGUCAUAGCUGCGCAAUAUCAACCAAAAUUCAUUUUGGGGUUCUCAUUAGGGUUUUCCUUUCGAGUUUCCCUUAUUAUCUCACCUGAAGUUUCUUAAUGAGGCAAUAUCUCUGCUAUUCCCUAUUUUUUUGGGCGCAAAGGUAUGUAGUUUCAUAAGCUGCUAUAUCUAUGGUUGCUUCCACUAAACGGGAAUUCGCAGGUCCAUUAUUGUCUCAAAUUCUGAUAACUCAAGGUCGAUGAUGAUAAACUUUUAAGGCUUGUUUCUCAAGACAUUCGCAGUGGCUGCCUGAGAACUUUCGCCUUCGCCAGGCUUGAGAGUUAGUGCUGCUAUAAUCCUUCCUUGGAUGUCUGAGGCCUUACUCUAACCACUUCUAACAACGUUCUAUACUUCUAUAAUUAUACAAAGUUUGUGCUGCUAUAUGAACAUGUCGGUUCGCAGUUUUGUUUUAUUUUUAAAAUGAAGUAUGUUGUUUCUUGUCUGUAAGAACAUACCAUGAUUAUUUGCUAACACAUUGUACAAAGUAUACCUCUAAGAGUUGAGUUUUCUUUGGAUGAUAUUGGUGGCUGGUUCGAAAAUACAAGGUUGAUGAUGAUAACUU